Molecule: ribosomal RNA, 452 nt
Filed under: uncultured bacterium
Lineage: Bacteria
Description: bacterial SSU rRNA
Rfam family: Bacterial small subunit ribosomal RNA
Source: RNAcentral
UACGGAAGGCAGCAGUGGGGAAUAUUGCACAAUGGGCGCAAGCCUGAUGCAGCCAUGCCGCGUGUAUGAAGAAGGCCUUCGGGUUGUAAAGUACUUUCAGUCGUGAGGAAGGUGUUAAGGUUAAUAACCUUAGCAAUUGACGUUAGCGACAGAAGAAGCACCGGCUAACUCCGUGCCAGCAGCCGCGGUAAUACGGAGGGUGCGAGCGUUAAUCGGAAUUACUGGGCGUAAAGGGCACGCAGGCGGUUAAUUAAGUUGGAUGUGAAAUCCCCGGGCUUAACCUGGGAAUGGCAUUCAAGACUGGUUAGCUAGAGUCUUGUAGAGGGGGUAGAAUUCCAUGUGUAGCGGUGAAAUGCGUAGAGAUGUGGAGGAAUACCGGUGGCGAAGGCGGCCCCUGGGACAAAGGCUGACGCUCAUGUGCGAAAGCGUGGGGAGCAAACAGGGAUUAGAUA